This 587-nucleotide long non-coding RNA is filed under the name Olea europaea subsp. europaea. The record is from RNAcentral. Lineage: Eukaryota; Viridiplantae; Streptophyta; Magnoliopsida; Lamiales; Oleaceae.
CCCACUACCACCUCUCACAGCACACACAGAUAAAAUUGAUGCUAUUUUAGAUGAAGAAACUGUGUUCACUAGUGAUGGAGAGGUUCAGCGCUUCCUUGUUCGUUGGGUUGGUCGACCAGAUUCUGAUUGUGCAUGGAUCUCCAGGGAGACACUACAGCAUUUGGAUCCAGAUUUGCUAGAGCUUUAUCGGAGUCAGCAGGAUCUUCCUUGGCCCAGAUCGCCUCCCGUCCACCCGAGGGGAGUUGAUGAGGACACCAGGUUCAGACCGCCACUGACGCAUUUCUACAGACGCCGGAAGACACUUGCCCAACCACUCAGCUUAUGGUUGGGAGAUUGACGAGAGUCUACGGUGAUAUAUCCACUCGACAGGGUCGAGUUUUCUCCCACCCCGGGAGAGUUGAUGAGGACAUCCUUUAUAGUUGGACUUUUAUUAUUAUUUCAGUAUUUUAGUUGGACUUUUAUUAUUGUUUCAGUUGGACUUUUAUUUAAAUUUACGUAUUUUAAUUAGGACUUAAAUAAUGGGCUUGGCCCUAUAUUUCUAGGUUUUCAUUAUUUAAACCUAUCAUUGGUUUGUAAUUUCUCAGUUG